This 455-nucleotide unclassified non-coding RNA is filed under the name Athalia rosae (coleseed sawfly). RNAcentral describes it as "misc RNA ENSAEAG00005011494.1". The record is from RNAcentral. Lineage: Eukaryota; Metazoa; Arthropoda; Insecta; Hymenoptera; Athaliidae.
AUUGUUAAUAUAGUUAGCCUCAUUGUAGAUAAUCGCUUAGUAUUGAAGGUAUACUAUAUGAGAUGAGGUUGAAGAUUUACACCAUGCCAUAAUACGAGAGCUAAAGACAACUGUUUCGCAGUACUCACUUACUUACGAGAGAACAACCUUUCACCAGAAAGGCCAGCGCGAAUCACUUUCGAGGUUUUUAAAUCGAGCCGGGUCUUGACCAAGUCAUGGGAAGCUCCGAGAUAAUUACAUGGAUACGCUACACCAUGUUCAACACAAUCGCGGUGCAACGUGUGGAGUCCAAGAUCGUAUCGAUUCUCACCUUACGGUAUCAGCGGACCCGCUUUCCCCCCCGACUGUGGAGAACCUAACGGCAACCGGAGUUCUUUUGCCAACGUUGGAGAAAAGCUUCGCCUUCGUAUACUUUGUGAUAUUAUGAGUUACUUCGAAGUAACCAGACGCACCUG